GGCGGCAUAGCCAAGUGGCAAGGCAGAGGUCUGCAAAACCUUUAUCCCCAGUUCAAAUCUGGGUGCCGCCUCCA
Molecule: transfer RNA, 74 nt
Filed under: Gracilibacteraceae bacterium
Lineage: Bacteria; Bacillati; Bacillota; Clostridia; Eubacteriales; Gracilibacteraceae
Description: tRNA-Cys
Rfam family: tRNA
About the family: Transfer RNA (tRNA) molecules are approximately 80 nucleotides in length. Their secondary structure includes four short double-helical elements and three loops (D, anti-codon, and T loops).
Source: RNAcentral